RNAcentral lists this ribosomal RNA (443 nucleotides) under uncultured bacterium. Its description in RNAcentral is "partial 16S ribosomal RNA". It matches the Rfam family "Bacterial small subunit ribosomal RNA", at positions 338 to 795 of the family's 1533-position model. The record is from RNAcentral.
CCUACGGGUGGCAGCAGUGGGGAAUAUUGGGCAAUGUGCGCAAGCCUGACCCAGCAACGCCGCGUGAAGGAAGAAGGCUUUCGGGUUGUAAACUUCUUUUAUAGAGGACGAAACAAAUGCCGUUACCCAAUGAAUAAGCACCGGCUAACUACGUGCCAGCGGCCGCGGUAAUACGUAGGUGGCAAGCGUUAUCCGGAUUUACUGGGUGUAAAGGGGGUGUAGGGGGGAGUGCAAGUCAGAUGUGAAACCCAUGGGCUCAACCCAUGGCCUGCAUUUGAAACUGUAGUUCUUGAGUAAUGGAGAGGCAGGCGGAAUUCCGUGUGUAGCGGUGAAAUGCGUAGAUAUACGGAGGAACACCAGUGGCGAAGGCGGUCUGCUGGACAUUAACUGACGGUGAGGCGCGAAAGCGUGGGGAGCAAACAGGAUUAGAUACCCGAGUAGUC